This 417-nucleotide ribosomal RNA is filed under the name uncultured bacterium. RNAcentral's name for it is "bacterial SSU rRNA". It matches the Rfam family "Bacterial small subunit ribosomal RNA", at positions 355 to 787 of the family's 1533-position model. The record is from RNAcentral.
UGGGGAAUAUUGGGCAAUGGGCGCAAGCCUGACCCAGCAACGCCGCGUGAAGGAAGAAGGCUUUCGGGUUGUAAACUUCUUUUAUCAGGGACGAAACAAAUGACGGUACCUGAUGAAUAAGCCACGGCUAACUACGUGCCAGCAGCCGCGGUAAUACGUAGGUGGCGAGCGUUAUCCGGAUUUACUGGGUGUAAAGGGCGUGUAGGCGGGCUUGCAAGUCAGAUGUGAAAUUCCACGGCUCAACCGUGGAACUGCAUUUGAAACUGUAGGUCUUGAGUGCUGGAGAGGCAAUCGGAAUUCCGUGUGUAGCGGUGAAAUGCGUAGAUAUACGGAGGAACACCAGUGGCGAAGGCGGAUUGCUGGACAGUAACUGACGCUGAGGCGCGAAAGCGUGGGAAGCAAACAGGAUAGAUACCC